UACGUAGGCGGAUUAGUAAGUUAGGGGUGAAAUCCCAGGGCUCAACCCUGGAACUGCCUCUAAAACUGCUAGUCUUGAGAUCGAGAGAGGUGAGUGGAAUUCCAAGUGUAGAGGUGAAAUUUGUAGAUAUUUGGAGGAACACCAGUGGCGAAGGCGGCUCACUGGCUCGAUACUGACGCUGAGGUACGAAAGUGUGGGGAGCAAACAGGAUUAGAUACCCUGGUAGUCC
This 229-nucleotide ribosomal RNA is filed under the name uncultured bacterium. RNAcentral describes it as "partial 16S ribosomal RNA". It matches the Rfam family "Bacterial small subunit ribosomal RNA", at positions 568 to 796 of the family's 1533-position model. The record is from RNAcentral.